CUUGUCAUGUGACCGAGGUUCCUGCUUCGUACUAGGAUGGAGCCGGAAGAGGGGACGCCCUUGUGGCAGCUGCAGAAAAUUCCAGCCGAGCUGGGCCCGCAGCUUCUUCACAAAAUAAUUGAUGGCAUUUGUGGCCGAGCUUAUCCUCUCCACCAGGAUUAUCACAGUGUUUGGGAUUCAACAGAAUGGAAGAAUGUUCUAGAAGAUAUUACCAAAUUUUUCAAAGCUGUAGUUGGUAAAAAUUUAUCUGAUGAAGAGAUAUUUCAGCAGUUGAAUCAGUUGAAUUCAUUUCAUCAACAAGCUGUCAUGAAAUGCUUGAAAAGUAGGAAAGAUGAAAUCAAGCAGGCUCUGUUAGAAGAAAUAGUUGAUAUUUCUUCUGCACAGCUACAGGAUUUUGAUUGGCAGUUAAAGCAAAUUACAGUGAUGGACCAAAUGAAGCAAAAUAAACUGAGCAGAGAUAACCUAGCUUGCACUGUCUAGUGACAAGAUUGCUACUUUACAAAUGCCACUUUUAAACCUUCAUCUAGACAUAAAAGAAAAUGGUGAAGUCAAACCAUAUUCUGUUGAAAUGAGUAAAGAAGAGCUGCAGAAUCUAAUAAAUUCCUUGGAAGCAGCUAAUAAGGUGGUCCUGCAGUUGAAAUAACCAACACUCUGAGAUUCUACUGCUACCCCAGAUGCGGCCAAGUGAAUACUGUGUGUUCAGAAUACCUGCGCUGUACUGACUGUUUUGCUAUGCUGAGAAAGCAGCAUGUUGGGCUUACAGAGAUGAAAAUAUACCCGCUUCCCUGCAGAACAGGAAAUGACGUGGUCGACAGGAAAUGCAUAAAAAAUGAGAGAUGAAAAAGCUCUAAUAGCAGUUUAUAUUUUCAUAAUGGCUGUUUUGCCUCAUUUAUUAAAUAUUUGAGAAACCUUUAUAGAUACACAGUUUUAUUGAAAGCUAAAAAUAAGCUCUAAAGUAAUGUAAACGUACAAAGCACAAAUCUACUUGAAUGUUGCUUAAAGGAAUAUAUAUGAAUAACAAGGAUGUGUAUUAUGGAUAUAUAUGAUUAAUUUGUAAUAUUUUAAAAAAUAACUUUUAAAGAAUGUAUGAGCUGCAUAUAUAACUCAGGAGAUUCCAUAUCUUUCUUCUAUUUCAAAGGAAAGAUUAUAAAAUACAAAAUUUCUUAGAGAAAGAAGCUCCUCUUCAGACAUGAACAAGAAAAAAUAAUUAAAAUUAAAAUUAAAAUCAACAGUUUUGAGUUUAUGAAUUCUAGAGAUUAAAAUCUUUUACUCGAGUGGGAAAAAAUGAAAGUAACACUGUUACUUCUGCACUUCUGUGUCUGAUCGGGAGGCUGUGCUUCGUUAAAAAGAAUCGAUGUCAUUGCAUAGUGUAUAUAUAGCUAUUCAGGUAUCAGCUGAGAUUAAAUAUAGGUCCAUUUUUGUUAUAGACUUUUAAUAUUGAAGUUAAUAGUUUUGGGUGUUAACUUCACUGGAAAACAAACCAUUUUUAAUUUCAGUUAACUAAAAACAAGCAUUCUGAACAAAUAAAAAAUGUCAUUUUACUUUUACAUAUUGCUUUAUUUCAGAAGACUUUCUACAUAAUGCAGUGACCCGUAGUUAAUUGGUACCUGCUGUUUGCGAGCUUAAUUGCUCUUUAGAGCAUCAGACUAUUAUUUGAGGUGUUCAGAACAGUUAUUACUAUUUCUCAUCAUAGAGAUGAAGAUAGGCUUUGAGAGCUUAAAAAAAAAUACCUGCUCGUGAUCUAGGCAGUGCUCCUCAAAAUGUGUCUGUAGACUAAUGCCAGUCUUCUGUGCACUGUUUGUUACAGGUCAGGGAUUAGAUGAGGAGCGCAUGCCAGAGUGUUCAUCAAUAUAUUGCUUUUCUCAUUGAGAGAUGUUGAUUAUGGAAAAAAUAUCAGCUGAACGAAACAGUGUGCUUAGGGAGGUUGUUGACUUACUCCCUGUGCAAGUUCCUUAUGUCACGGACCGGUAGCGGUUUGCAGGCGAGCACUUUAAAUAAUGCAGAUGAUCGCUGAUGUACGAUGGUUUGACUUAGGAUUUUUUGACUUCACUGUGGUGCUAAAACAACCUGCAUUCAGUAGAAACCAUACUUUGAAUUUUGAUUUUUUUUUUAACACAUUUUGCAUUUUGAUCUUUUCCUGGGCUAGCAAUAUGCAGUCCAACACUCUUUUCUGAUUUGGGCAGCGGCAGCCCCGCAGCUCCCAGGCGGCCAUGCGGUCACAAGUAAACAGCUGAUAUCCUGACAACCAUCCUUUACCCAGACAACCUUCUGUUUCUCACUUUCAGUAUAGUAUUCAGUAAAUUACAUGAGGUAUUCAACACUUCAUUUAAAAAUAGGCUUUGUGUUAGAUGAUUUUGCCCAACUGGAGGCUAGUGUAAGUGUUCUGAGCAUUUAAGGUAGAGUAGGCUAAGCUGUGAUGUUCAGUAGGUGAGGCAUAUUAAAUGCGUUUUUGACUUACAGUAUUUUCAGUUUAUGAUGGGUUUAUUGGGAUGUAAACCCAUCACGUUGAAGAAGAUCUAUACUGAUUUAAGGUCCUUUGGAAUUUCAACCCUCCAUUUUCUUCCUUUGAUAAGCAGAAAAUCUUGCUCUACUUAUUCUUCCUCUCACCACCUUAUUUAUCACUCCAUUAGAAUAUUUAACGACUUUAUUGAAAUCUCACCGAUAUACUGUAAACCUCACAUAUUUAAAGUGUAUAAUCUGGUAAGUUUUGACAUCUGUACACCCAAGAAAGCAUCACCUCUGUCAGGAUGGUGAACAUGGCAAUCACUCCCAAAAGUUUCCUCCUAUUCCUUUGUAAUCCCUGCUCCUGUGCCCUCCCCCCCAACCCCUGAUCUACUUCCUGCCACUCGUAGAUUUGUUCACACUUUUCAAGAAUUUAAUAUUAGUGGAAUCAUACAGUAUGUACCUUUUCUUUUGAUCCGGCUUCUUUCAGUAUUGAGUUCAUCUGUGUUGUUGCAUAUAGCAAUAGUUCAUUCCUUUCUCUUUUUGAGAAGUAUUCAGUUGUAGAGUUUUACCAUAAUUUGUUUAUUCACCUGUUAAAGGAUAUUUUUGGUCGUUGAAAAUUUUUAUGGCCAUUACGUAACACAGAAUCCUGUGAACAUUCUUGUGUAAACCUUUGUAUGGACGUGUGCUUCCUUUGAGUGAAUACUUUGAGGAGUGAAAUGUUUCCAAAGUGAUUUUACCAUUGUACAUUCCAUCCCGCAGUCUGAGAGUUCCACCUUCUCCUGUUUGCUAACACGUGCUUUGGUCAAUCUUAAUUUCAGCUGUUGUAAUAAGUGUGUAGUCAUAUCUCGUUGUGGUUUUAAUUAUAUUUAUUUCCCUAAUGA
Molecule: RNA transcript, 3326 nt
Organism: Leptonychotes weddellii (Weddell seal)
Lineage: Eukaryota; Metazoa; Chordata; Mammalia; Carnivora; Phocidae
Gene: COMMD8
Gene name: COMM domain containing 8
Source: RefSeq, a predicted model, not a curated record